This 254-nucleotide ribosomal RNA is filed under the name uncultured bacterium. Its description in RNAcentral is "partial 16S ribosomal RNA". It matches the Rfam family "Bacterial small subunit ribosomal RNA", at positions 524 to 776 of the family's 1533-position model. The record is from RNAcentral.
UACGAAGGGGGCUAGCGUUGCUCGGAAUUACUGGGCGUAAAGCGCACGUAGGCGGAUACUUAAGUCAGGGGGUGAAAUCCCGGGGCUCAACCCCGGAACUGCCUUUGAUACUGGGUAUCUCGAGUCCGGAAGAGGUGAGUGGAAUUCCGAGUGUAGAGGUGAAAUUCGUAGAUAUUCGGAGGAACACCAGUGGCGAAGGCGGCUCACUGGUCCGGUACUGACGCUGAGGUGCGAAAGCGUGGGGAGCAAACAGG